ACAGAGGUCCCGAGCGUUGUUCGGAUUCACUGGGCGUAAAGGGUGCGUAGGUGGUGAGGUAAGUCGGAUGUGAAAUCUCCAGGCUCAACCUGGAAACUGCAUUGGAAACUACCUUGCUAGAGGUUUUGAGGGGGGACUGGAAUUCUCGGUGUAGCAGUGAAAUGCGUAGAUAUCGAGAGGAACACCAGUGGCGAAGGCGGCCAGCUGGGCCGGGUCCGACGCUGAGGCGCGAAAGCGUGGGGAGCAAACAGGA
This 253-nucleotide ribosomal RNA is filed under the name uncultured prokaryote. RNAcentral describes it as "partial 16S ribosomal RNA". It matches the Rfam family "Bacterial small subunit ribosomal RNA", at positions 525 to 777 of the family's 1533-position model. The record is from RNAcentral.